Molecule: ribosomal RNA, 253 nt
Filed under: uncultured bacterium
Lineage: Bacteria
Description: partial 16S ribosomal RNA
Rfam family: Bacterial small subunit ribosomal RNA
Source: RNAcentral
UACGUAGGGUCCGAGCGUUGUCCGGAAUUACUGGGCGUAAAGAGCUCGUAGGUGGUUUGUCGCGUUGUCCGUGAAAACUCACAGCUCAACUGUGGGCGUGCGGGCGAUACGGGCAGACUGGAGUACUGCAGGGGAGACUGGAAUUCCUGGUGUAGCGGUGGAAUGCGCAGAUAUCAGGAGGAACACCGGUGGCGAAGGCGGGUCUCUGGGCAGUAACUGACGCUGAGGAGCGAAAGUGUGGGGAGCGAACAGG